This 478-nucleotide ribosomal RNA is filed under the name uncultured bacterium. RNAcentral describes it as "partial 16S ribosomal RNA". It matches the Rfam family "Bacterial small subunit ribosomal RNA", at positions 28 to 523 of the family's 1533-position model. The record is from RNAcentral.
GACGAACGCUGGCGGCGUGCUUAACACAUACAAGUCGAACGGUAAGGCCCUUCGGGGUACACGAGUGGCGAACGGGUGAGUAACACGUGGGUGAUCUGCCCUGCACUUCGGGAUAAGCCUGGGAAACUGGGUCUAAUACCGGAUAGGACUCCGGACUGCAUGGUCUGGGGUGGAAAGCUUUUGCGGUGUGGGAUGGGCCCGCGGCCUAUCAGCUUGUUGGUGGGGUGAUGGCCUACCAAGGCGACGACGGGUAGCCGGCCUGAGAGGGUGACCGGCCACACGGGGACUGAGAUACGGCCCAGACUCCUACGGGAGGCAGCAGUGGGGAAUAUUGCACAAUGGGCGCAAGCCUGAUGCAGCGACGCCGCGUGAGGGAUGACGGCCUUCGGGUUGUAAACCUCUUUCAGCAUCGACGAAGCGAAAGUGACGGUAGGUGCAGAAGAAGGACCGGCCAACUACGUGCCAGCAGCCGCAGUAA